RNAcentral lists this ribosomal RNA (485 nucleotides) under uncultured bacterium. RNAcentral's name for it is "partial 16S ribosomal RNA". It matches the Rfam family "Bacterial small subunit ribosomal RNA", at positions 28 to 523 of the family's 1533-position model. The record is from RNAcentral.
GAUGAACGCUAGCGGCAGGCCUAAUACAUGCAAGUCGAACGGUGUCUUCGGACAUAGUGGCGCACGGGUGCGUAACACGUAUGCAACCUACCUUACAUUGGGGGAUAGCCUUUCGAAAGGGAGAUUAAUACCGCAUAAGACAGUAGCUGGGCAUCCAGCAGCUGUUAAAGAUUUAUCGAUGUAAGCUGGGCAUGCGUCCAAUUAGCUAGUUGGUGAGGUAACGGCUCACCAAGGCAAUGAUUGGUGGGGGAACGGGGAGGUCAAUCCCCCACACUGGCACGGAGAGACGGGCCAGACUCCUACGGGAGGCAGCAGUAGGGAAUAUUGGGCAAUGGACGCAAGUCUGACCCAGCCAUGCCGCGUGCAGGAUGAAGGCGUUAUGCGUUGUAAACUGCUUUUAUACAGGAAGAAACGACUCUUGCGAGAGGCAUUGACGGUACUGUAUGAAUAAGCACCGGCUAACUCCGUGCCAGCCGCCGCCGUAA